CUUACUUUUAACUUCAUCUACAAUAGCGUGUACUUUAUUUUAUUUUAUUUUUUUUCAAAAAGAAAUCAUUCAUUUUGCAUCCCUUUAUAGGUACUUACUGACUUGUAGCAUGAGUGACAAUGGGUGAGAAUGGAAAUCCCAUUCAGAGCCACUGAGGAGAGUAUUUGGUUAGGCUUACUAACUUGCUAAGUCCUUCCUGUCUGCCAGCCUGAUAGUGACCAUUGUUCAUAUCUUCAUCCUAGCAAAAUUGCAGAUUACUGCUUGGAAGAGACCUUCAGGAAAGUACAUUAAAUAUUAAAUCUUGUCUGCAAUUAUCUGUCAAAAAUUAGAGAAGUGUAAUAAAUCCUGCCACAUCUAUUGUGCUUCGAUGUGUAUCUCUUCUUUCCUCACUUGGGGCUGUAUCUAUUUUGAUGUCCUGUUUUCCAGCACAGAAUAUUAGGAAAUCCCACUUAAAGAAAAGGAGAUACCAUGCUUGGCAACCACAGGACACCUGAACCAUUCCAAGCAACUGGGAGCUGCUAGCUAAUACCAUCUAAUUAAGGGUCACCUUAGAAAGAAUUUUGAAAUAUGUGGAGAAUAAAGCUCAGAAAGACUAGGUGAGUAG
This 604-nucleotide long non-coding RNA is filed under the name Felis catus (domestic cat). Its description in RNAcentral is "lncRNA (ENSFCAG00000042323.2)". Lineage: Eukaryota; Metazoa; Chordata; Mammalia; Carnivora; Felidae. The record is from RNAcentral.